GAACGCGAAGAACCUUACCAUCCCUUGACAUGUCGUGCCAUCCGGAGAGAUCCGGGGUUCCCUUCGGGGACGCGAACACAGGUGCUGCAUGGCUGUCGUCAGCUCGUGUCGUGAGAUGUUGGGUUAAGUCCCGCAACGAGCGCAACCCACGUCCUUAGUUGCCAUCAUUUAGUUGGGCACUCUAGGGAGACUGCCGGUGAUAAGCCGCGAGGAAGGUGUGGAUGACGUCAAGUCCUCAUGGCCCUUACGGGAUGGGCUACACACGUGCUACAAUGGCGGUGACAGUGGGACGCGAAACCGCGAGGUUGAGCAAAUCCCCAAAAACCGUCUCAGUUCAGAUUGCACUCUGCAACUCGAGUGCAUGAAGGCGGAAUCGCUAGUAAUCGUGGAUCAGCAUGCCACGGUGAAUACGUUCCCGGGUCUUGUACACACCGA
RNAcentral lists this ribosomal RNA (435 nucleotides) under uncultured bacterium. RNAcentral describes it as "bacterial SSU rRNA". It matches the Rfam family "Bacterial small subunit ribosomal RNA", at positions 957 to 1393 of the family's 1533-position model. The record is from RNAcentral.